This 159-nucleotide non-coding RNA is filed under the name human gut metagenome. RNAcentral also lists the same sequence under 1 other name. The record is from RNAcentral.
AUUGAGUGCCCGCAUACGGCGGGAUAAUAGGGAAUUGGGUGAGAAUCCCAAGCGAUCCGGUCACUGUGUUCGGUCAAAAAGCUGCAUGAAGCCAUUGCAGAAAUGUGAGAAGGCGCAGCUAAAAUGAAUGCCGUCAGUCAGGAAACCUGCUCAGUAUAU